GGAGGCCAGCCAACCAGAAGAGUCUCUGAGGUGUACUUGCCUGGAAGGAGAGUCAGCAUCCAAAGUCAGGUCCAGUCCUAAGGUUGGGAAAACAGCAACUCGUGUGGUCAGACAGUCCAGGGAUCAGGGAAUCUGAUGAUCAGAGGCUGAAGAUUCAAAAUGAGCAGGAAGCAGCAAGAUAGAGCCAGGUACUACAAGUGUUGUUACCAGCACCUGACUGCUGCUGGAAGUUCUGCUUAAGAAAACUGAAGCCAGCUGGUUCACGUUAGUGCCUUCUCUGUGUUCUUGAAGGCUGAUCAGUUGCAGGUGGAGUCACUCCACCUUCUCCCCCUUCAGGCUGCUGUUCUGCAGGUGAAGCUGACUGCUCGUCCAUGACACUUGGUUCCCAGUGCUGCUGCAUUGGUCAUGCCGCCCUAAAACUGCUUCUGUUUGGACAUCCCAUGGAAGGGCUCAUGGAGAAGGGCUUCAAAUGAAGAUUGCAGGGUCUGGAUUAGUUCAUGUGAGGAAAUACUGAGGUACUGCUCUCCUGAGCUGCAUAUUAGAUCUUUAUAGGUCAAAACCAAUACUUUGAAUUGAUUCUGGAAACUAAUCAGUAGCCAUCGCCAAAACUGGUGUUAUGUGCUCAGACUGCCUGCUGAAUUUUGCACCAGCUGCAGUUUCUAAACCAUAGCACAUUGCAGUAAUCUAACCUAGAGGUUAGCAGAGCAUAGACAAUAGAAGUUAGGCUAUCCCUCUCCAGACAGGGGUGCAGCUAGGCCACCAGCCAAAGCUGAUUCCACAGAGGCCACUUGAGCCUCAUGCAACAGGGUUGAAUCCAGAAGUGUCCUCAACCUGCAUCUUCAGAGCAGGCCACAUCCUACCCAUCCAGUCCAUUAACACCCUGAUGCUAUGUAGUGCUGGAUAUGUGUAACUCCAUUGUAUCAAUAAUAUCGUCUAUAGCACGGAGGUUUUGGAGUUCAGUUCAAGCCCUGAUUCAAGGCUGUGACCCUGAUAAAUUCUGCAACAUUGUGUCCACAGAAAACCUGGCAAGUUUAGUGUUAGAGGGAGGUAGUGCCUACUGCAAAUGUCAAUCUUUAAAUAUAUCAUGUUAGGACGCAUCACAGGAAUAAAUUGUAAUUCAUUCCAACAGAAACCAAUCUACCCACUUUACUUUGUCACAUGAAUGCCAUCCAAGGGAAGGGGGGGGGGAAUCUGUCAUCUAGCCUUCAGAAUUGAAGCAAAAUUGAUCAUUUUCCUCUCCUUUCCAUAUCUCUUUGCCACUUGUCAGUCAGAAGCCAGAUGACCUGUGUUAAAAUAUCCAUUAAUUUUUAAACAUGUUUACUCAUUUUUGCCAGGAAGGGGGAAAUGAAAUGCAAAUGUCUAAAAUUAAAUUUUGGGUUGAUAGGAAAACAUUGUGACAGGGAUAAAAACUGACCUGCAGCCUCACUUUAUAAUGUCAUUUUAGCUGUGAGGGCAAUUAUCCAUCUGUAACAAAAUGGUGAACCAUUUCUGUCUAAUGAGAAGCAGAUAUCUGAUUUGCAUAAAUGUCUUAACAAAUAGUUCUUAUUCUUAGAAUAAUUGCUAGACUGGUUUUUCUAUGUUUUAUCUCCCUUUUUUAUUACUAUUGCUCCAUAACAGAAACUUCUGUUAUCACUUCUUCUGUACAUAAAUAGAUCUAUAAACCCAAACAAGAUGUUUAAUGGAAAGUAAUGUGAGCCAAACUUCUCUGGACACAUAAUAUAAACUCUUUUAAACUCUUUUAAAUACUUCAGCCAUUCAAACCUGUGAAUUUCUUAUAUUUGUGAGAUUUUCAGAGUCUGAUGUGUAUGUGUGUGCCUGCACCCAGAGAGGUGAACAAUUUAAUUGAUUGAUUAAUUAAUUGAUCAUUUAGUUUAGCGCCCUUCAUCCGAAGAUCUCAAGGCAGUUCACUGCAUAAAAAGACAAAAUAAAAUGACAAAAUGCAUAAUAAAAAUAAGAACAAAAACAAACCAGUAACCCCGCCUCCACAAACACAUUUAAAAGGGCAUACAAGGUUAAGCAUUCUCUCCCUCCCUUGUGAGAACAUUUCCCAAAGGGGGAGACACUGCAUAAAAGGCCUGUACUUGUGUUGCCACCCUCUGGACCUCUCAUGGAGGCGGCCUCAGAAUGGUCCGGGUAGGUUCAUAUGGAGAGAGGCGUUCCUUGAGGUAUUGCAGUACUCAGCCAUUUAAAGCUUUAUAGGUCAAAACCAGCACUUUGAAUUGGACCCAGAAACUAAUUGACAGCCAGUGUCCUUGGGGCAGAAUUGGUGUAAUAUGUUCAAACUUUCUUUCCGCAGUGAGCAACCUGGCCAUCAAAUUCUGCAUCAGCUGAAGUUUCUGAACUGUCCAGAGACAGCUCCAUAUAGAACAUGUUGCAGUAAUCUAGCCUGGAGGUUACCCAGAGCAUAGACGACAGAAAUUAGGCUAUCCCUGUCCAGAUAGGGGCGCAGCUGGGCCACCAGUCAAAGCUAAUGGAAGGCACUCUGCUACCCAAGCCUCAAGCAACAGCAGAGGAUCCAGAAGUACCCACAAGCUAUGUACCCAUUCCUUCAGAAGGAGUGUAACUCCAUAAAGAGCAAGGUACUACCCAUCCAUCCAGUCUAGGGAACCACCCACUAACAGUGUCUCAGUCUUAUCUGUGUCAAGGGCCUUAUCCAUUCAGAUAUUCCUUAAGUCAACCAUGGCUUCUACAGGACUGCCAGUCAUAUCAGCCUGGAUAUCCCUCAGGGCAGUCUGGAAAGUGAUUGACUCGGUCAGUCUCUGAGGGUGGACGAUCCUCAUAGGUCCUCUGUGGGAGGUGAAGCUGCUAGGGAACAAUACAGCAUGGCAAUGUAGGAUUGUUUUCAGGAGACGUUCUGCAGGGUGAAGGAUGGCUGCCUCCAUUAGGCCCAAGCUGACACUUGGAAAAACCCUCACCAACUUAAUAUUUGAGCUUAAAGCAAUAUGAAUGUUUUGCAAAAUUCACCUCCCUUCUCUGCCUGAAAGUUGCUGAAUAUACCCCACCUUUGUGAAAGAUGAAUGGUUUCAAAAAAGAGGGGUGGCUAUUAGACCCAAAUUCUAAAUCAUUCAACUCUGAAAAAAGAAGAAGAGGAGUUUGGAUUUGAUAUCCCCCACUUUAUCACUACCUGAAGGAGUCUCAAAGCAGCUAACAUUCUCCUUUCCCUUCUUCCCCCACAACAAACACUCUGUGAGGUGAGUGGGGCUGAGAGACUUCAGAGAAGUGUGACUAGCCCAAGGUCACCCAGCAGCUGCAUGUGGAGGAGCGGAGACGCGAAACCGGUUCCCCAGAUUAUGAGUCUACUGCUCUUAACCACUACACCACACUGGCUCUCGGUGAAAUGAAACAAAAAAUAUUCCAUCCAUCCUUACUCAAAGGCAGAUCAGAACUGGGGACACCCUGCUUCUUCUAUAGUGCAUUCCAAACUGCAUAAUGGUCUUCAGUGUAUCAAGUUUAAAGGUGAGGGGCACAGGGCAAAACUGUACUUGCACUCAGGCAGAGGUUUCAGCUGGAUUACCUUGUGGACCCUUUCAGAUUUAUGAAUCUAACUUUCUAUAGUCCAGAGAUACAAAGGGAAAGAACUGUCAGAAGGCAAAGGGAAAAAAGCCCAAUGCUGAAGUGUCACAUUUCACAGAUUUAUUAUGCGUUUGCAGUGCAGAUAAACUCAGUGGGAGAAGUUAAUAUCAAUUGAUAGAUACGGUGGAGGUGGUGCCCACACCGAGCAUGAGCUGCUGUGGUUUAAGUAGAUUUUAAUGCCCAGUUGGAAAUAUACUUUGAUGUAACAGAAAAGUUCACGGAUUGACUGAGAAAUUGUAAGGAAAUGACUACCACCAAAGAGUACAGCUCUGCAAACAUUUUUUUUCCCUGUCAAAGCAAACCUUAAUAUACAGUUGCUAUUUUCACAAUUCUUUUUAUAACUAUAAAGGGUUCAGAAUCUUGCCUUUUUUGUAAUGGUAUUUAAUUGGCUCUCUCUAUUAGCUGUUGUUGCUGUUUUUAAAUUCCUAACCUCUUCAUAAGUCACUGGGACUGAGUGGGCUAGAAUUGUAUUUAAUAGAGUCAAGUUAAGAUGACACUAUUAUUAUCUACUGUUAUCUACUAUUAUCUACUUUUACUUCUUAAUUACAUAAAAAUAUUAAUAGUGCACCGUAUCUGCUGCAAAGUUACCUCUUUGAUUACUUAGGUGAAGUGGGGUGGGGCAGAAUGUUGUAGAACAGAAAUCUGGGUGUGCAAAUCACUGUACUAUGCCAUUUCAAUUAGGAUUCCCCCCCCUUAAUUUCCCAGCUAAUACAGCAAUCUUGCAUGAUUGGGAGUCUGUUUGGAUUGCUAUGGGGAAAGUCCCCAGUAUAUAAAACAAAACAAAAACAAAACAAAACAAAACACAAUUGUACUUAUUAAAGUUUUUGUUUAGAUAUGUAAUGGCUUCUGCAAAGACAAGUUCUGUCUCAUGAAGCUUUUACAGUUCUUUGAGAGUGUCAACAAGCAUAUAGCUACAGCUCGUCUUACUUCAGAAAUGACAUUGUGCAGCUCAAAAAAGGGUAACCAAUAUGAUCAAGAGGCUAGAACAACUUCCCUUUGAGGAAAGGGACACAAUUUGGGGAUUUUUUUAAAGAUAAGAUAAAAGCCAAGUGAGCUUUGACAUGACAGAGAUAUAUAAAAUUACAUGUGAUAUGGUAAAAGCUGAGAGACAAAAGUUCUAUUCCUUCUGUGAUGGCGCCAAAAACUGGGAUCAUUCGGUGAAGGAGAAUGCUGGAAGAAUCAGGACAGAGAAAAUUAAGUACUUCUUUGCACAGCACAUAGUUAAACUAUGGAGUUAGCUACCACAAGGUGGUAAUUACCACAUCUCUCACCAACUUGGAGAGCUUUAAAAGAGGAUUAUACAAAUGUCUAGGCUGUACUGUCUUUAGUACUGAAAGGAGUAAACCUCUGAAUGCCAGUUGCUAUUGUACUCAGAUCCUGCUCACAAGUUUUCCAUUAGCAGCUGGGCAGCCACUGUUAAAACAGGGUGCUGGAGUCUUCUGUUUAUAAAAUACACACAGAGAACACAAGAAACCUCUAGGCUCUGCAGGUUAGGGAGGAUGGCAGGUCUGUUCACAAGACUCAUAUGUAUUUAGUCAGUGAAAGUUAUUCAUGCAUUGUACAGUGGAACACAGUGGCAAGGGGUGGGCUGGAUUCUAUACACAUCCCAAAGACACCUCACAUUUCUCCUACUCGUCUCUGGUACAAGUGUGUCAAUAGUGGAGAAAAAGAGGCUAUAUGAAAAAGACUAUAGUUACAGAAGUCCUCAGAACAUGUGAGUUGUGGGGUGGUUUGUUCUUCAUGUAUUGUUCUAUGUUCCUAUCCCAUGAGCACCAGACAUUUUAAGGAAGCUAUUUACAGGUUGUGAUACAACACAGGAGUCUAUCAUUGAAAAAAAGAGGGGGAAAGGGGAAACAUCUCAGGGGGCAUGCCUAAAAUACCUGCAGUCAUUUGUGAUAUUGUGUGUUAUUCAAAAGAGAGAGGGAGGGAGGUGACAAGACAAAAGAUGCCUAAAGUAGCUUUUUGGAAUCUGGCUGGUAUAGCUACAUGCUGUCACAAGGGAAUAGGCAUGCUCUGGAAAGGAGAAGUAUUCUAAGAAGAAGACAUACUAUGAAGCUCACAUAGUGACCACACUUGUGGAAGAAAGUGUGGGGAAGAUAAAUGAAACACAGAAGUGGCCAAGAGAAAGACUAGAGCCAUUCAAAGAUGUGACAGGAACGAGUUUGGUGAAUGAAGAGCAAUAGAAAUAGUACAGACAACAGGUAAGCUUACAGUCUGGAACAUUUAAGGCUGCAGAUUUGUGGUUGUUCUUUUUCCCUGAAAGAGGAAAGAACUGUCAUUAUGAUGGAACCCAAAAGUGAUGGGAACAUAAAAUAAAACUGGUAAAAGAGAAAAGUCCUAAUGUACAAGAACUGUAGCUUUAAGAAUUCUGCCACUGAAAUUACACCAGCACUGUUUGGACUGGGAUUUAUACUGGAUCAAGAACAGAGAUGGAAAAAUAGAGAGAAAAGCUGACUAAGCCACCAGAAAUAGACUAGAGAAAAACAAACAAAACCAGCAGAAAUUUAACAGUAUGUACAUACACAUGCUACAAGAGACAGAGCCAACAUGGGCUGUUAAUUUUUUAUGGUGCUGUUCACUUUAACCCUUGCAUAUGAUUUUAGGGGCAGGUGGCAAAUAACUGAAGAAGGAAAUGUUAGUUUAGCUUCCAAAUAAAUUUUGCUCUUAUCAAAGAUUCACAGAGAAGUCUUACACAUUUUCAGAAAUGCACUUAAUUGAUAGAAAAGAUUGCUUUAUCUCUUAAGAUACCUAGGAUAGUUAGAUGGCUAGGAAGCUGAUUGUAAUUUUAAUCAGCAUUAUAGAAGAGUAGUCUGAUAAGCUGGUGAAAGAGAAAAAAGACGUUAUCAAUAGUGUUUUUUAAAAUAGUAUUAUCUGAAGUAACCUGAAUAUUUUUUCUCAUCUUGUGCAAACAUUCAAUGAUAAUACAGACAGUAAUUCAGACUAAUUAAGAAAUAAAACCUUUUUUUUUAAUGCCAGCAUUUCAGUCAUAAGAAUGUAAGAAGAGCCUAUCAGUUCCAACAUUCUGUUCACGCAAUGGUCAAACUAGAUUCCUGGGCAACGUCCACAAGCAGGACAUCAGCACAGUGGCAUGAAAAGCCAUCAUAUGAAAACUCACCCAAUGAAAAAUUGGCAUUUCCUCACUUCCUCUUGGUCUCUGUAGCUAUAGAAGCACAGGCUGGACAGGGCCGGACCUACCAUUAGACAGAGUGAAGAAGGCGCUUCUGGAAGAAGAUGCUGAGGCCUGGGGAGAAACAGCAAGACACCGGAGCACCGAAGUGCCACACAGUCUGUCCUGUGCCCCCUGAGCUGGUUGCAAUCAGAGGAGGACUGCUGCCAGUGUUGAAGAAAGAUUCAACUGUCAAUCCAGCUGAGGUAGUUUUGUUUGUUUUUUUACACAGAAUAGAGGAAGGCACCAUCUUGUACCAUAAGGAGAGGAAAUUUCAUUAGCUUGUUAGCAGGGGCUGCAUAGCAGAGGCAGGC
Molecule: non-coding RNA, 7053 nt
Organism: Podarcis lilfordi (Lilford's wall lizard)
Lineage: Eukaryota; Metazoa; Chordata; Lepidosauria; Squamata; Lacertidae
Source: the annotation of a GenBank genome assembly